GAUGAACGCUGGCGGCGUGCCUAAUACAUGCAAGUCGAGCGAACAGACGAGGAGCUUGCUCCUCUGACGUUAGCGGCGGACGGGUGAGUAACACGUGGAUAACCUACCUAUAAGACUGGGAUAACUUCGGGAAACCGGAGCUAAUACCGGAUAAUAUAUUGAACCGCAUGGUUCAAUAGUGAAAGACGGUUUUGCUGUCACUUAUAGAUGGAUCCGCGCCGCAUUAGCUAGUUGGUAAGGUAACGGCUUACCAAGGCAACGAUGCGUAGCCGACCUGAGAGGGUGAUCGGCCACACUGGAACUGAGACACGGUCCAGACUCCUACGGGAGGCAGCAGUAGGGAAUCUUCCGCAGUGGGCGAAAGCUUGACGGAGCAACGCCGCGUGAGUGAUGAAGGGCUUCGGAUCGUAAAACUCUGUUAUUAGGGAAGAACAAAUGUGUAAGUAACUAUGCACGUCUUGACGGUACCUAAUCAGAAAGCCACGGCUAACUACGU
This 496-nucleotide ribosomal RNA is filed under the name uncultured bacterium. RNAcentral describes it as "partial 16S ribosomal RNA". It matches the Rfam family "Bacterial small subunit ribosomal RNA", at positions 28 to 506 of the family's 1533-position model. The record is from RNAcentral.